RNAcentral lists this unclassified non-coding RNA (332 nucleotides) under soil metagenome. Its description in RNAcentral is "partial contains 5.8S ribosomal RNA, internal transcribed spacer 2, and large subunit ribosomal RNA". The stretch from base 1 to 120 matches the Rfam family "5.8S ribosomal RNA", at positions 35 to 154 of the family's 154-position model. The record is from RNAcentral.
GAUGAAGAACGUAGCAAAAUGCGAUAAGUAAUGUGAAUUGCAGAAUUCAGUGAAUCAUCGAAUCUUUGAACGCACAUUGCGCCCGCCAGUAUUCUGGCGGGCAUGCCUGUUCGAGCGUCAUUUCAACCCUCAAGCACAGCUUGGUGUUGGGACUCGCGUUAAUUCGCGUUCCCCAAAUUGAUUGGCGGUCACGUCGAGCUUCCUUAGCGUAGUAGUAAAACCCUCGUUACUGGUAAUCGUCGCGGCCACGCCGUUAAACCCCAACUUCUGAAUGUUGACCUCGGAUCAGGUAGGAAUACCCGCUGAACUUAAGCAUAUCAAUAAGCGGAGGA